This 484-nucleotide ribosomal RNA is filed under the name uncultured bacterium. RNAcentral describes it as "partial 16S ribosomal RNA". It matches the Rfam family "Bacterial small subunit ribosomal RNA", at positions 28 to 507 of the family's 1533-position model. The record is from RNAcentral.
AUUGAACGCUGGCGGCAUGCUUUACACAUGCAAGUCGAACGGCAGCGCGGGCUUCGGCCUGGCGGCGAGUGGCGAACGGGUGAGUAAUGCAUCGGAACGUGCCCAGUAGUGGGGGAUAGCCCGGCGAAAGCCGGAUUAAUACCGCAUACGACCUGAGGGUGAAAGCGGGGGAGCGAAAGGCCUCGCGCUAUUGGAGCGGCCGAUGUCGGAUUAGCUAGUUGGUGGGGUAAAGGCUUACCAAGGCGACGAUCCGUAGCUGGUCUGAGAGGACGACCAGCCACACGGGGACUGAGACACGGCCCAGACUCCUACGGGAGGCAGCAGUGGGGAAUUUUGGACAAUGGGGGCAACCCUGAUCCAGCGAUGCCGCGUGCGGGAAGAAGGCCUUCGGGUUGUAAACCGCUUUUGUUCGGGAAGAAAUCCUCUGGGCUAAUACCCCGGGGGGAUGACGGUACCGGAAGAAUAAGCACCGGCUAACUACGUG